UGGAACGCGCCCCAGGCGCACCCAGAAACCCUUUGUGAACUUAUACCUUACUGUUGCCUCGGCGCAUGCUGGCCCCCUCGGGGCCCCCUGGAGACAGGGAGCAGGCACGCCGGCGGCCAAGUUAACUCUUGUUUUUACACUGAAACUCUGAGAAAAAACACAAAUGAAUCAAAACUUUCAACAACGGAUCUCUUGGUUCUGGCAUCGAUGAAGAACGCAGCGAAAUGCGAUAAGUAAUGUGAAUUGCAGAAUUCAGUGAAUCAUCGAAUCUUUGAACGCACAUUGCGCCCUCUGGUAUUCCGGAGGGCAUGCCUGUUCGAGCGUCAUUUCAACCCUCAAGCAUUGCUUGGUGUUGGGGCACUGCUUUUAACGAAGCAGGCCCUGAAAUCUAGUGGCGAGCUCGCCAGGACCCCGAGCGCAGUAGUUAAACCCUCGCUCUGGAAGGCCCUGGCGGUGCCCUGCCGUUAAACCCCCAACUUUUGAAAAUUUGACCUCGGAUCAGGUACGAUGGCCGG
Molecule: ribosomal RNA, 515 nt
Filed under: Phomopsis sp. ONH-2015
Lineage: Eukaryota; Fungi; Ascomycota; Sordariomycetes; Diaporthales; Diaporthaceae
Description: eukaryotic LSU rRNA
Rfam family: 5.8S ribosomal RNA (bases 173-326)
Source: RNAcentral